Molecule: non-coding RNA, 113 nt
Organism: Acanthosepion pharaonis
Lineage: Eukaryota; Metazoa; Mollusca; Cephalopoda; Sepiida; Sepiidae
Source: the annotation of a GenBank genome assembly
ACAGCUGUAUCAUGUUGAAAACACCAGUUCCUUUGUGAUCACUAAAGUUAAGCAACAUUGAGCCUGGUCAAUACCUAGAUGGUUGACCACUUGGGAAUAUCAGGUGCUGUAAG